GUAGCAGAGCAGCUCCCUCGCUGCGAUCU
RNAcentral lists this non-coding RNA (29 nucleotides) under Gallus gallus (chicken). The record is from RNAcentral. RNAcentral also lists the same sequence under 4 other names. Lineage: Eukaryota; Metazoa; Chordata; Aves; Galliformes; Phasianidae.